GACAGAGGGGGCAAGCGUUGCUCGGAAUUACUGGGCGUAAAGGGCGUGUAGGCGGCCUGCUAAGUCUGAUGUGAAAUCCCCUCGCUCAACUCGGAAACUGCAUUGGAAACUACCUUGCUCGAGGGUUGGAGGGGGGACUGGAAUGCUUGGUGUAGCAGUGAAAUGCGUAGAUAUCAAGCGGAACACCAGUGGCGAAGGCGAGUCCCUGGACAACUCCUGACACUGAGGCACGAAAGCUAGGGGAGCAAACAGG
This 253-nucleotide ribosomal RNA is filed under the name uncultured prokaryote. RNAcentral's name for it is "partial 16S ribosomal RNA". It matches the Rfam family "Bacterial small subunit ribosomal RNA", at positions 524 to 776 of the family's 1533-position model. The record is from RNAcentral.